GGCGACGCCUGGACCAGCCAUGCCGCGUGUGUGAAGAGGUCUUCCGGUUGUAAAGCACUUUAAGUUGGGAGGAAGGGCAUUAACCUAAUACGUUAGCGUUUUGACGUACCGACAGAUAAGCACCGGCUAACUCCGCGCCAGCAGCCGCGGUAAAG
RNAcentral lists this ribosomal RNA (155 nucleotides) under uncultured bacterium. RNAcentral describes it as "partial 16S ribosomal RNA". It matches the Rfam family "Bacterial small subunit ribosomal RNA", at positions 374 to 525 of the family's 1533-position model. The record is from RNAcentral.